UACGAAGGGGGCUAGCGUUGCUCGGAAUCACUGGGCGUAAAGGGUGCGUAGGCGGGUCUUUAAGUCAGGGGUGAAAUCCUGGAGCUCAACUCCAGAACUGCCUUUGAUACUGAGGAUCUUGAGUCCGGGAGAGGUGAGUGGAACUGCGAGUGUAGAGGUGAAAUUCGUAGAUAUUCGCAAGAACACCGGUGGCGAAGGCGGCAUCCUGGACCGACAUUGACGCUGAGGCGCGAAAGCCAGGGGAGCAAACGGG
Molecule: ribosomal RNA, 253 nt
Filed under: uncultured bacterium
Lineage: Bacteria
Description: partial 16S ribosomal RNA
Rfam family: Bacterial small subunit ribosomal RNA
Source: RNAcentral